GUAGCUCAGUUGGUUAAGAGCGUGAUGCUGAUAACGCCAUGGUUGCAGGUUUGAUCCAGUUGCAUAUUUCUGCAUUGCA
Molecule: non-coding RNA, 79 nt
Organism: Podarcis lilfordi (Lilford's wall lizard)
Lineage: Eukaryota; Metazoa; Chordata; Lepidosauria; Squamata; Lacertidae
Source: the annotation of a GenBank genome assembly